UACGGAGGAUGCGAGCGUUAUCCGGGUUUAUUGGGUUUAAAGGGUGCGUAGGCGGAUCGUUAAGUCAGUGGUCAAAUUGAGGGGCUCAACCCCUUCCCGCCAUUGAAACUGGCGAUCUUGAGUGGAAGAGAAGUAUGCGGAAUGCGUGGUGUAGCGGUGAAAUGCAUAGAUAUCACGCAGAACCCCGAUUGCGAAGGCAGCAUGCCGGCUUCCUACUGACGCUGAAGCACGAAAGCGUGGGGAUCGAACAGG
Molecule: ribosomal RNA, 252 nt
Filed under: uncultured bacterium
Lineage: Bacteria
Description: partial 16S ribosomal RNA
Rfam family: Bacterial small subunit ribosomal RNA
Source: RNAcentral